AUGCGCACGCAUGUGUGUGAAUGCAGCGUACUUGUGAAAAAUGUUGGUUGCACGCGAAUCGAGCAACGCGGCUCAUUGUCCGACACGAGUUCACCUGCUGCCUGCCGAUGAAGAAAUUCUGACAAAGAACCUCACAGGUGCCAUUCGUUUUUUUCACAAUGUUACACACUGAGGUGCCUAAAGGGUAUACAACUUUAUAACCCGUUGUCCGCCGUGUUGCGCAACCAUCAACCGUUGAAAAAAAAGAUCAAGCAUACUUCCUUUACCUUUCUCGUCACUUAUCGAGUGAAAAUCAUUCGUGAAGCCACGCACGAUUCAAAUUUGUAGAGGAUUAGCAUUGAACAAUGAGAAGAACCAUCCAUCGAUUAAUCCAUUGACUUGAAGAUUAACACCAUAUUUCGAAAUAUAUCUACAAUUAAUUGCGUUUAAUGAUGGGAUCAAGUUUGAUAUGUAAGUAGUUAUAAAUAUCAAUCUGAUGGAAAAGAUUCAUUUUAUAGGACUAAAAUAUUAUUAGUAAGAUACAAUCGAAUCUUGAAAUUCUCUGUAAGACUACAAUUUUAUUCAAUCUCUUUACAAUCUCUAUUAUAAUUUUUCUAAAUCGAAAAAAGUUAUUUUAAUUCAAAUUAUUUAUCAAAUAUCAAUGCAUUAUUUUAUAUCUGAAACCUAAACUUAAAAUAGUCAAACUUCUACAAGUCAAAAUUAACAUAUUCUGUAAUUGAAUUUUUAUUGUCGCAAUUUUUACAACUCGAAGUUUAAGGUUAUGUAUCGAAGCUAUUAGAAAUUAAAAAUUAUUUUUUUUCUUAAUUUUUUAUAAGAAAAAAUUUUAAUUUAUAUGAAAAGUUUGUUAAAAUAAACUUUUUCAUUUGAAAAUUUUUACAAUUCAGAAUCUUUAUGACUCGAAAAUUUAUAUCUCUUUCCUUAAAGUUCGACUUAUCGAGAUUCGAUUGUAUUAGAAGAAUUUAACACUCUGAAGUAAGCUAUGGAUGAUAGCAUACUUUGUUUUUUUUAAAUCUUCGCUUAAAAAAUUGAUAAAUAAAUAAAAAUAAUAUUAUAUCAUAAGAUAAAUAUAAUAUACAAUGUGAAAAAAUUAUUUUCAAGAAAAUUGAUUUCUAGUAAGUACUGUAUUCUUAAAAUUUCGGACAAUAUUUGAUUCUAUAUACUCGAAAAUACUUAUAGAGGGUCUUGCUCAGAUUCUACUCAAAAGAAUUAUUUCAUAUUUACGAAAUAUUCUGGUACGUCAAUAUUAAAUGAUCGUAUUGUUUACGUAUACUCAAUCCCAUCAUUAACGGCAUCAAUUUAAUCAAGAAGCACAAACGACUGCUAGCUGCGCUUUUUGUAUCGGCUAAUUACAGGCAAGGUCAAGUCGAAUGGCAGCAGCUUAGCUCGUGGAAAAAAAAACGAAACACGCGUGUCACAAGCGCGCAAGCUGCACGGUGUUCGCGCUCGGCGUGCGUAGCCAACGGACCCCCAUAAAAGAGCAGUGCAGCUGUGUUUUUUUUCGAAAAAAUCCGUGCCGUGUGUGCGGGAGCAUGCGGUCGAUUCGACGAGACAGUCACGGAGAAGAGGAGGAGGAGGAGGAGAAGGAAGAAGAAACAGAAGAAGAGGGCAGGUAAAGAAGAAACAGAAGCGCGGAAGGAGAAUCAGAGGCAGAGAGAGGAAGGCGAUCGACGUGGAGAGGCGGAGGCAAUGGAAAAAGAAACGAUUCGCCGCGGACAGAGGGUUGAAGAACGGGUUGAAGAAGCGGUGGAAGAAGGAGGAGAAGAAGCGGCGCAACAUGCCGAGGGUACCGGUCGAGGUGAAGGAGGAUAGCGAAGGGGCAAGGUGCUGCCAAGGUGGCGGUUAGGGCAGCUGAUCUUCGAAUAGCAGCAGGUGAAUGCGAAGAAGCUCGCGCUCGUGGAUGGAGCGAGACAACCGGGAUGGUAGUUGCGGUAGAUGCGCCGCUGGCUGUGGAGGAGGAAGAGGUGGGAUCCACGCGUGCAUAAAAGGUGUUUCGUUAUUGUUACCAAGCGCGCGCGCGCUACCCGCCUCUUGGAUUUAUUAAUCUUAUUCGCCAACGGGUUCCUCUUGCUACCCUGAUCAAUCCAAGUCAACGUCGAACGUAUCUAACUUGUCCUCCUCAAUCUUGGUCGAAGAAAGCACUCGUCAGUUGCCAAGGAGGUGCGCAAGGUGGCCGAGGAAUCUGUGAGACUUAACGGUUGGACACGCCACGGAAGAACAAGUGCAGGGUGCACUUGUGGGAAGAAGGUCAGGGGUGUUCCCAAGUUACGUUGGAGGGUGCCUUGGCCACGAAGGUGGCGGGUCCUUCUUCGUGGUCGUCGAAUUAAUAGGCCAUCUGCUUCUGCCUCCUUCGAGGAAGUCAAUGUUUAGGAAGUCCAUGGGAAGCGGCGACAACGGAAAGCCCCAUAAACGAUCGGAGACAUGGGAACGAACGUUUGCAAGGAAGUCGCAUGCGGCCCUGUUACGCACGAUAUAUUCCUUCGCCUUCUGCUAAUCAGGGGCAAGACAGCGUAGGUGUGAGCGGCUAGCUAUAAGGAAACGAUGAGUUUGGAUCAAGGAUACUCCCAAGUGGUUACUUUUCCGGUCUUUCUACUCUUACUGUGAGACGUCCAACGUUUCUCUAACGGAUCUCUGAUUAGCCGUAUCGAAUAGCUAUGAGAAUUCCUUGGGUAAAAAUGGAACAAAAAACGAGCAAGUCUUCAAAGUUUUACGUCAUAGAAGGUUUUGAAAUAAGUAAAAGACUUAAGAGAUAUUUCCAAAGAUUAAAAUAAAUACAAAGGUUGGUAUAAUAUAUAAGAUGUUGAAAUUUAUUGAAUAAACAAUUUAAUAGAUGAAGUAUGGAAGUGAGUAAGAUGGAAAUGAGAUAAAGUAUGAGAAAGAUAAUAUGUAUUUUCAGUUUGAAAAAUUUUCCAAACGAAAAAUUGUAAAAAAUUUAACUUCAAUAAAAAAGUUAAAUCAUCAUGAAUUUGAAGAAUUCUUCUAUUUCUACACUUUCUGUAUCCAUCAAACAAUUACUUAUGUCAUGUUAAUCUAAUCAUUUAGAUUAACUAUCGAAUGAUCGAUCUAGCCAGUAAAGAUUGGAAUUCCACGAAUUGCAUUGAAGAAUUGCGUUUCUUUGCACUUUCUCAAGACACCGUAGGCGAAGAAAAAUUGCGGGUGAGGACUAUCAAUAACUUCUGCGGAAUUCGCGCUAAAGGUUAACCGAAAGAGCGACCCGUCGCGUGUGUUCACGGAUCGAUCGGAGAAAUCGUCGAUCGUAGCUGCAAGAUCAUUUUUUACAAAACGAUCUUUCUAUCAACACAAGAUCGAAGAUUCUUAAUUAUCUAACAUAUUAUGUAACCCUUAAACAAAGAAUCUUAAGAUGGUCAUAGUUGAUGUUAUGCAUGGUGAUUUUACGGUUGAUGGAAGAUCUUGAAUUGGUGGAACGAAGUAAGAUGAUCGGAGAGAUUGAAAGCUGGAGGAUGGAAAAAGAUCAGAAAAUGAGCAUGAAAAAGGAGAAAAGAUCGAAAGAAGAUUAGUGAAAGAAGAAGAAAGAGAAAGAAAACUAAAGUUAGAAGGAUAUACGAUAGGAUCUACGAGGGCUUCUGUCUUCAGCGUGACUGAGAACCACAAAUAUGAACGUAUAUUUGCUACGACUCGGUGGAAAGAGCGUGAAAAGAAGCCUUGGCAUGGAAACUGGUUGACGUGUCCACAAUGGCGGGCAGGGUUACGUAGGCGCCCUUGGAUCCCUAUUCAGGAUCAGCCUCCUCGAAUAGGAGCUCGAAAAGGAUACGGUGCUCUCGGCAUCGCGAGCACCCACGCGAGAAACAGGGAAGCUUUGUGGAAAAAAAAGGGGAGAGAGUAACGGUAAAGAAAAGAAUAUUUAUAUUUCAAAGAUGAAACUUUUGUCGAGUGUAAAUUGUCGCAAAUCGAAUUCAUCAAUUAUAAUUGUGAAAAGGUGACACAAUUUAAGACACUUGCACUCGAGUAAUUAAAUUGGACAUAACAGAAAGCGAUACAGUGAAAAUGCAUCGAUAAUAUUUCUUUGAAAUAAAAAAAGAAAUGGAAAAAGGAAACAUCUGGCUGUGCGUAACUAAAAUUCUUCUUUAUAUUAUCGUAAUUUAUUUAAUUGAUAAUAUAAAUAAUAUAAUUAUGUUAAUUACUAAUUAAACGAGCGAUUGAUCGCAGUUGUUGGAGCAAUAAUUGAGAUAAAACGACUAUUCUUUGUGAUCAUAAUAUAAGAUGAUCACCGCAGAUGCAAUGGAUCGAUUUUAUCGUAAUUUUUUUUAUUCUAGAAUUGAAUAUUGGUCAUAGCAGAAAAAUUUAUUUCUUAUAGGAGUUAUUGAAACCACAAAUUCUUUCAAAAAAGCAAAAUCAAGUAUUCAAUAUAUUUUUUGCACUCUUCUUAUACUUCCAUUCUAGAAAUAUUGUUAUUUCUUUCUGUUUCUGCAAAAACAAUGUGUUAAAGAAUCCAAGGUUGUUAUGUUAUUACUAAUCCACGAUGGAACAAUGUUUCACUUUCGAUCUUUCUUGGGAGACGAUAUAUUUUUAUAAUUAUAAAAGGAUAUAUUUUUAAUAAGAAUUUCCUAAAUUAUGAAUAAUUAUGAAUAAAAAUAAUAAUGAUUCAAGUACAUAAAUAUGAUUCAAAUUGAAGACUCAAGCUGAAAAUUUAUGCUGUAGAAAAUAUGGAUUUAACAUGUAAUUCUUACAUCACAACGUGAAUAGAGUCGUAAUCGUCUCGAAUAAUACAAUAAUACAAAAUAAUACAAUAAUUAUCUUAAUUUGGUCUUUAGAAUUUAAAUAUUUUUAAAUAUAAUAAGAUAAGAAUUUGAUAUUUAUAGAAAGAUAGUAUAUAUUAAUUAAAACUAAUAAGGAUUAAACUUCUUAUUAUGUUUACAGGUAAUGAAUUAUAACUAGAAGAGGAAUUAAUGUAUAAUGUUAUGUAUACAAAAUGUUUCAGAAGGGAUAGUUGAUAAGUUGACAGAAGAUAUUGAUAAGAAAGAUAUAAAUUGGUCUUCAAUGUAUCCCUAUUAUUCAGUUUGUAAACGUAUUCGUCCACCUGUUGCUCCCUUCUUUUAGUCACGCUCAUACACCGGUGUUUUAUAUAUGUAGUAGAAUUGAUGAAAUAUCACUUUUGAUAUCGAAAAUAAUGCUUGUUUUUUGAACACUUAUUUUUUUUUUUAAAGAACAUAGAAAUAUUUAAAAAUUUUCAAUUUUGUUUAAGAAAUUCAAAUUUUCUUUAAAAAAAUAUCUAUUGAAUAUUAUUAUAAAUAAAUCUUUUAAAUAUUUGUAUUAUAUUAAAAAGAUUAGAAUUAUAUCUAAAAAAUAUCUAAAACUGAAAUUGAGACUCUGUUUUCAAGAUAUUUAUUUAUCAUCUAUUAAAAAAUUGUAAUUAUAUAUUAAUUUAUUAACAUUUCAAUCUUCUAAUAUUUUAUUCUUGAUCUUUGUUACUUUCGAUUCUUUUUCUUUUAUAUCAUAUCAUAUAAAGAUCUUUGAAUUUAUUACUAACAAAAUACACUUUUCCAAAUGUAUCACUAAUAAAUAUACAAUCAGCACUGGCAGAUAUAAUAUCUAUUUCCUAGAAACAGCACUAGUCUUAGAUCCAAGGAGUAAAUGUGAACCACAAGAAAACAACUCUCGAGAUCUUGUCGAUGAAUCGCCUAGCCUGGAGGAACAAAGAGAGAAGAGAGUAGGAGUAAAACAGGCAAUGGCAGAGAAAGGAUCUCGAGAAGAGGAAAGAGAAGAGUGAGCCGCCCCCAGCAGAGCACGCAGCCUCCGUGGAUCGCUCUGUCCCACAUCCGACUAUAGUUUACUCCAUAUAAGUUCCUUUCUCUAAUUUCUAAUCAUCUAUAACAUCAUAUACUCUUGAUUUUAAUUUAAUUUUCAAUUUAAUUCAAGACAAGAAAGAAAUGGUGAAUUCCUAGAACAGAUAAAUUAUAUUUUAAUCUUUCUUCGAUAAGAAUGUUUAAAUCAAAACUGAUGAUUGAUAGAAGAAUAAAUCAUAUAUAUCAAAUCGAGCAGCUGUGUGGAAAAAAUAAGAGUGGACUCAAAACAAGCGAUAACACAGGAGAAGGUGCUGUGUAAAGGUGCUCGGCCCAGAAGACAGACAAACGCAUACCCCAACUCCUUAAGUCAAUCAUUUUAUGGGCGUUUCAAGAGACUCGGCAUGUUUUCGUUAUUUUUUCGAAGCAAAGUGGUCUGACGAGAGAGAGAAUCAUAAGAAGGAGGAAGAGGAAGAGGAAAAAAGAGGAAUAAGAAAGAAAUAAAAAGAGAACGGAAAGGGAAAAAAGCGAAGAAGCAAGAAGCCGCCCCCAGCAGAGCACGCAGCCUCCGUUCUAGCUGGUUCUGUCCCACGCACUAUUAUGGUUUGCUCUGCCCAAGUUCCAUUAUAUUCUUCUUUCAAAUGUAUCCAACAGAUAUAAUUAAUUUAAUAAUCUCCAUUGUCUUAUUUUUCUUGCAGUUUUAUCAAAUACAAUGAAACUAUUUUUGUUAACAAUGCAUAUUUUUGGUAUUUUGAUUUCCAACUUGGGUCAUUUAUAUUUAUAAUUAUUUUACUUAUUGUUCUGGAAUCACAAAAUUUAAGAAGAAUUCUAUUUUAUUAUAUACAUAAAUAUAUAAUUACAUUAUAAUUAUUAUAUAUAUAUUUAUUUAUAUUGUAUAUUUAUAAUAUUUUAUUUAUUACAUUAAGAUUACACAUAUGCAGAAAAAGAUUUAUUCUCAAAAAUAAUAAUCUCUUCGAAGAAUUUUAAUUUGGAUAUGAACGAACGAGAAGUUAAGUUUUAAACGAGAAAUAGUUUGAAAUCUCUAAAACUUUUCCACUCAACGAUGAAAUCUUCAAACCCGGGAAAAUCUGAUGAACUGGCGAUGACCAUCGAUUGGUUUGGUCAUAGUCCCAAAGGACGGUAACGCGAGUCCUUUUUUGGCGUCCCGACUGACCUAAUUGGGACCACCAUGCUCGUGUCCGCUCAUUCAUCGAUCGCGGCAUGCUACCGCUCGUGUAAUUAACCCGAUUUACUGCGAAAUAGAAGAAGUCAGAGAAAUAGAUCCCAAUAAAAUUAUUAUUUAUUAGAUAAAAAUUCUCUUGUAAAAAAAAAGCGCUUUAAAUGGUGAACAAGAUACUGGUUUGACUGUUACUUCGAAGGUGACCACAGUAACAUUCAGCAAUGAAAUACGUAAUAAUUUCACCAUGAAUUUCCGAACUUUAUUGCCUCGUAUGAGCAAUGAACAACUUCACGAGUACCCGCAUACAUUAACACCACUACGAACAAAUGACAUUUGGACGGACGUUGGGAAAUAAAUUUCGGUUUUGUCAGCGAGGAUGCGGCGCGCCGUGAAACCAGCCCCGAGCUGGAAUAAAUCUCCGAGCCGCGAUCGUCAUUCCUUCGCGAAUGACAAAUGCGUGCCCGUAUAAAAAGGGAGACGAAGCUCCACGGAGACGAGGAGGUGAAUCAGAAUGGCUGGAUCGAUCUGAACAUCGUCCGAUCGGGUUAAAAUAUACAAAUAAACUCGAUAACGGUACGGUGGUCGAUCGACGUCGAAAUCUCGCAUGGGGUCGAUCAAAUGGAAAUCGAUUGGUGUUUCUUCGAAAAUAAAACAACAAAAAUGGAAUAUUAAUAUUAUGAAGAUAUAUUAAUUAGUUUUAAACUCAAAUUUUUAUGAGAUUGGAAUUAAUAAAAUUUAUUUUUUUAUGUUUAUA
Long non-coding RNA from Apis cerana (Asiatic honeybee), 7672 nucleotides. RefSeq lists it as uncharacterized. Lineage: Eukaryota; Metazoa; Arthropoda; Insecta; Hymenoptera; Apidae. The record is from RefSeq and is a predicted model, not a curated record.